GGAUGAACGCUGGCGGCGUGCCUACUACCUGCAAGUCGAGCGAACGGACGAGAAGCUUGCUUCUCUGAUGUUAGCGGCGGACGGGUGAGUAACACGUGGAUAACCUACCUAUAAGACUGGGAUAACUUCGGGAAACCGGAGCUAAUACCGGAUAAUAUUUUGAACCGCAUGGUUCAAAAGUGAAAGACGGUCUUGCUGUCACUUAUAGAUGGAUCCGCGCUGCAUUAGCUAGUUGGUAAGGUAACGGCUUACCAAGGCAACGAUGCAUAGCCGACCUGAGAGGGUGAUCGGCCACACUGGAACUGAGACACGGUCCAGACUCCUACGGGAGGCAGCAGUAGGGAAUCUUCCGCAAUGGGCGAAAGCCUGACGGAGCAACGCCGCGUGAGUGAUGAAGGUCUUCGGAUCGUAAAGCUCUGUUAUUAGGGAAGAACAUAUGUGUAAGUAACUGUGCACAUCUUGACGGUACCUAAUCAGAAAGCCACGGCUAACUACGUG
RNAcentral lists this ribosomal RNA (498 nucleotides) under uncultured bacterium. RNAcentral describes it as "partial 16S ribosomal RNA". It matches the Rfam family "Bacterial small subunit ribosomal RNA", at positions 27 to 507 of the family's 1533-position model. The record is from RNAcentral.